GGAUUAACUGCAUUCCAUAAUUUCCAUUGAAUCAAUUCAAAAGUCCAAACCCAGAACCCACCUAAUCAUUAAAUCAUGCAUUCAUACUCCUCAAAUUCUUAAAUCUCAAUUUCUUCCCGUUGAUUUUGGAAACCCCCAAAGGUCUAAGCUUCUGCAAGUCAGAAAGAAAACAAUACUGGUGGCAACGUGUUCUUCAGUUCACGGUUCAUCUCCGACUCCGAUUUUUUGCCGUCCACUGCACCAUAGAAUUUUGAGGUAUUGACAUAUUGUCAUUUUAAUCAUAAUAACAAAAUGCUAUGUUUUGUACAAAAUUGUAAAGUUGAAUUUCUAUCAGUAAAAUAAAAACAAGAAAUUGUUUGAAUAAGUCACAAUAGGAACAUUUUCCCGAACCCAAACUAGUCAUUAGUGUCGACUGAAUGGAAUCAAUGGAUACAUAAGAGACUCUGGAUUUCGGGUAAGAAAUUUGCGGAUUUUUGGUGUUUUUGAAAGAGAGCUUUUUGUAUAGGCUAAAAUCUAACCAGUAGAAUUUUUCUUUGCUUGCAUUUUUGGGUGGUAACACACAGAAUGUUUUGAAAUACAAUUUACCGAGUGCAUCUCUUCCUUAAUCUUGUAGACCAGGUAUUUGUUGAAAUGACAUAGCAUUCUCUUACUGUUUUUACGCAUUAUUGUUUUUGUUGUUCAAUUUGAUUUUAAUUUCAUAAUUUUUUGUAUGAUAUAAUGUACAAGGAAAAUUUCGUGAAAUUGCAAAAAUACAAUUCCAUGUUUAGAAUAAUAGUUUUGUCAGUGUAAUUUUACAUUUUUUCAUGAUUUUUUUUUUAAAAUCUAGAUAGCAAUUCAUAAUAGAAUGGAGGAUGAGCUUCUUGCUGAUAGUGUGAUGCUCUACAUUGAACGAGAAUUUGUCGAGAAAGUAGAUGUAGAUUAAUUCUAAUAUAGAUGAGUUUUGCGUAGUCAAAGCUUGAC
This 960-nucleotide long non-coding RNA is filed under the name Olea europaea (common olive). RNAcentral describes it as "long non-coding RNA (OEUR_LNC005187)". Lineage: Eukaryota; Viridiplantae; Streptophyta; Magnoliopsida; Lamiales; Oleaceae. The record is from RNAcentral.